This 435-nucleotide ribosomal RNA is filed under the name uncultured bacterium. RNAcentral's name for it is "partial 16S ribosomal RNA". It matches the Rfam family "Bacterial small subunit ribosomal RNA", at positions 29 to 507 of the family's 1533-position model. The record is from RNAcentral.
AGCGAACGCUGGCGGCAGGCUUAACACAUGCAAGUCGAGCGGGCACUUUCGGGUGUCAGCGGCGGACGGGUGAGUAACGCGUGGGAACGUGCCCUCUGGUUCGGAAUAACUCAGGGAAACUUGAGCUAAUACCGGAUACGCCCUUUUGGGGAAAGGCUUGCUGCCGGAGGAUCGGCCCGCGUCUGAUUAGCUAGUUGGUGAGGUAACGGCUCACCAAGGCGACGAUCAGUAGCUGGUCUGAGCGGAUGAUCAGCCACACUGGGACUGAGACACGGCCCAGACUCCUACGGGAGGCAGCAGUGGGGAAUAUUGGACAAUGGGCGCAAGCCUGAUCCAGCCAUGCCGCGUGAGUGAUGAAGGCCUUAGGGUUGUAAAGCUCUUUUAUCCGGGACGAUAAUGACGGUACCGGAGGAAUAAGCCCCGGCUAACUUCGUG